Molecule: unclassified non-coding RNA, 216 nt
Filed under: soil metagenome
Description: partial contains 5.8S ribosomal RNA, internal transcribed spacer 2, and large subunit ribosomal RNA
Source: RNAcentral
AACCAUUCUCACCUGCGGCUAGACCUGCGGAGGGAUCAUUAUCGAAUGCAAGACGGCGUUGCCGUCGCGGUGCACAACCGCUCCUCCCUUGCUUAUCAGUACCUUUGUUUCCUCGGCGGGUACGCUCGCCGCUGGACCUUUUGUUCAACGCUUCUGUUGUUUGCAGUGUUGUCUGAGCAUUAUGCACCAAUUGUCAAAACUUUUAACAACGGAUCU